CAUGCAAGUCGAGCGCCCCGCAAGGGGAGCGGCAGACGGGUGAGUAACGCGUGGGAAUCUACCCUUUUCUACGGAAUAACGCAGGGAAACUUGUGCUAAUACCGUAUGAGCCCUUCGGGGGAAAGAUUUAUCGGGAAAGGAUGAGCCCGCGUUGGAUUAGCUAGUUGGUGGGGUAAAGGCCUACCAAGGCGACGAUCCAUAGCUGGUCUGAGAGGAUGAUCAGCCACAUUGGGACUGAGACACGGCCCAAACUCCUACGGGAGGCAGCAGUGGGGAAUCUUGCACAAUGGGGGAAACCCUGAUGCAGCGACGCCGCGUGAGUGAUGAAGGCCUUAGGGUUGUAAAGCUCUUUCAGUGGGGAAGAUAAUGACGGUACCCACAGAAGAAGCCCCGGCUAACUUCGUGCCAGCAGCCGCGGUAAUACGAAGGGGGCUAGCGUUGUUCGGAUUUACUGGGCGUAAAGCGCACGUAGGCGGAUCGUUAAGUCGAGGGUGAAAUCCUGGAGCUCAACUCCAGAACUGCCUUCGGUACUGGCGAUCUAGAGUCCGGAAGANGUGAGUGGAACUCCCAGUGUANAGGUGAAAUUCGUAGAUAUUGGGAAGAACACCGGUGGCGAAAGGCGGCCAACUGGGACCACAACUGACGCUG
RNAcentral lists this ribosomal RNA (648 nucleotides) under uncultured bacterium. RNAcentral's name for it is "bacterial SSU rRNA". It matches the Rfam family "Bacterial small subunit ribosomal RNA", at positions 54 to 748 of the family's 1533-position model. The record is from RNAcentral.